Drosophila melanogaster (fruit fly) is the source of this 23-nucleotide non-coding RNA. The record is from Ensembl. NCBI's taxonomy places the organism in Eukaryota, Metazoa, Arthropoda, Insecta, Diptera, Drosophilidae.
GAAGCUCGUCUCUACAGGUAUCU